UAGAAGAGUCCCAAUUUCAGUGUAAUAUACAGUACAUACAUAUGCAUGUGACAUACUUUUGAAGCAUGAAUUCCCUCAGAAAGCAGUAGUCCUGACUGUAGCACUAGUGUGAGAAGCCUCUGAAGAUCCUAAAAUGUCACUUUGCUUUACUGGUAAUUGGUGACAUCCAAGUAGUACUUAACUUCAGGGGUCAGUGCAACCUGGAAUGCACAGACAGGAAGACAAAGGGGAGGAGUCUGAGCAUGUCAGCGGCAUCCACAGGAAGAGUCAUCAGGGAGUAUGUUCUCAUUAGGACCCUGAAACUCUUGGUUAUGCUCCGUGAAGCCAGUGUUCUGUACUGAAGAGCGCUUAAUAUUCAAACACCAAAGAGAUUUUAUUUCAAACCUGUCAAAACCUUCCACUUUCACAUCAAGAAAUACUAAUAAGUGGAUUUGCAUAUAUGGUAUGUGACUUUUCCCAUAUCAAUUACAGAACAGCCUCAGGAGGCAGACCUUGGAGUUUUACAAAGGUAUGGACAAUGAUAAAAGACAAUCCGGUGCCAGUCUUAGGGCCAUGGAUGUUGUUGGGAUGUUUUGCUGUGCUUUCCUGCCAAGACAAGUUGUUGGUGAAAAGCCCUUGCUCCAAGCUUUUGGUAAGAGGAAUUCCAUAUUCUUUCUUGCCGUUUAAGUCUCCAAAUAGAACAAGUUUGUCCUUUGAGAUUUUUCAAAGACCUCGGUACAUCUUUACAUGUAAAUCUUCCUUUGUUUUAAUGUCUGAAUCUAGAUAAGGGCCAUUUAAAUAAAUUAUGCAGGCCGAUUGGUUACCCGCUAAUUUCAGGAGUCAUGAUUUGCUUCUUGAUUCCAUCAGGGAACACAUGAAGCUGGUUGAUGGUUUAAAUUUUCUAUGGCAAGUCCAAGAUCCAUGAAUCUGACAUUUUUCCUCUGAUUUUCUCUUCCAGAAGAAAUCACUUCCAUGUUCUUUGACCUGCACUUCUCCAGCUCAUCAGGUUACACUUGGGGCAGUAAUGUCAAUGUCAUAGCUCA
Molecule: long non-coding RNA, 1022 nt
Filed under: Lepisosteus oculatus (spotted gar)
Lineage: Eukaryota; Metazoa; Chordata; Actinopteri; Semionotiformes; Lepisosteidae
Description: lncRNA (ENSLOCG00000021244.1)
Source: RNAcentral